Molecule: ribosomal RNA, 472 nt
Filed under: uncultured bacterium
Lineage: Bacteria
Description: bacterial SSU rRNA
Rfam family: Bacterial small subunit ribosomal RNA
Source: RNAcentral
UGGGGAAUAUUGGACAAUGGGGGCAACCCUGAUCCAGCAAUGCCGCGUGUGUGAAGAAGGCCUGCGGGUUGUAAAGCACUUUUGGCAGGGAUGAAAAGCACUGGAUUAAUAACCCAGUGUGUUGACCUAACCUGCAGAAGAAGCUCCGGCUAACUUCGUGCCAGCAGCCGCGGUAAUACGAAGGGGGCUAGCGUUGUUCGGAUUUACUGGGCGUAAAGCGCGUGUAGGCGGGUCGUUAAGUUGGGGGUGAAAUCCCGAGGCUCAACCUCGGAACUGCCUUCAAAACUGGCGACCUGGACCUAAGUAGAGGCAAGUGGAAUUGCGAGUGUAGAGGUGAAAUUCGUAGAUAUUCGCAGGAACACCAGUGGCGAAGGCGACUUGCUGGACUUAUGGUGACGCUGAGACGCGAAAGCGUGGGGAGCAAACAGGAUUAGAUACCCAAGUAGUCCCUGAGCGGGCUGGCAAGGCGCAU